UGGCUGGUGCUUUGAGGAGAGAGUAGCAAG
This 30-nucleotide non-coding RNA is filed under the name Homo sapiens (human). Lineage: Eukaryota; Metazoa; Chordata; Mammalia; Primates; Hominidae. The record is from RNAcentral.